This is a small nuclear RNA of Camelus dromedarius (Arabian camel), 113 nucleotides long. The record is from Ensembl. Lineage: Eukaryota; Metazoa; Chordata; Mammalia; Artiodactyla; Camelidae.
GUGCUCCCUUGAGGGUAUACAGCACAUGCACUAAAACUGGAACGAUACAGGGAGAAUUAGCAUGGCCCCUGUGCAAGGAUGAUAUGCAAAUUCAUGAAGUGUUCCAUGUUUUU